UACGUAGGCAGCAAGCGUUUGUUCGGAGUUACUGGGCGUAAAGGGUGUGUAGGCGGCCUGUUAAGUUCCGUGUGAAAUCUCCCGGCUCAACCGGGAGGGUGCGCGGAAAACGUGGCGGGCUAGAGUGCGGGGAUGGGAGAGUAGAAUUCCUGGUGUAGCGGUGAAAUGCGUAGAUAUCAGGAGGAACACCGGUGGCGAAGGCGGAUCUCUGGGCCGUAACUGACGCUGAGGAGCGAAAGCAUGGGGAGCGAACAGG
Molecule: ribosomal RNA, 256 nt
Filed under: uncultured bacterium
Lineage: Bacteria
Description: partial 16S ribosomal RNA
Rfam family: Bacterial small subunit ribosomal RNA
Source: RNAcentral